RNAcentral lists this long non-coding RNA (555 nucleotides) under Salmo salar (Atlantic salmon). RNAcentral's name for it is "lncRNA (ENSSSAG00000086564.1, ENSSSAG00000112963.1)". The record is from RNAcentral. Lineage: Eukaryota; Metazoa; Chordata; Actinopteri; Salmoniformes; Salmonidae.
UCAGUAGUUUCAGUAGAGAGAGGAGUUUCAGUAGUUUCAGGAGAGAGAGGAGUUUCAGUAGAAAGAGGAGUUUCAGUAGUUUCAGUAGAGAGAGGAGAGAGGAGAGAGAGGAGAGAGAGGAGAGAGAGGAGUUUCAGUAGUUUCAGUAGAGAGAGGAGAGAGAGGAGAGAGAGGAGAGAGAGAGGAGAGAGGAGUUUCAGUAGUUUCAAGAGAGAGUGGACUUUCAGUAGUUUCAGUAGAGAGAUGAGUUUCAGUAGUUUCAGUAGAGAGAGGAGAGAGAGGAGAGAGAGGAGUUUCAGUAGUUUCAGUAGAGAGGGGAGAGAGAGGAGAGAGAGGAGAGAGAGGAGAGAGAGGAGUUUCAGUAGAGAGAGGAGAGAGAAGAGAGUGUGAGAGAAAUAUAUGUUCCUGGCAGGAAGGUUGGAGGAUUUCCCCUCCUGAAUAGACUCCAUGAUGGAGCGGAUAUCCUCUCUCCAAGUCAGCUCUCUGGACUGGCGCUUUGCACCGUUUAACAACAAAAUAACGUAUUCGCUAUUACAGAGCAGUCAUCCGUUUAGC